CAUUGGAAAGGGCGGAGCGGACAGAUGGGAGCUUGCUCCCUGAUGUUAGCGGCGGACGGGUGAGUAACACGUGGGUAACCUGCCUGUAAGACUGGGAUAACUCCGGGAAACCGGGGCUAAUACCGGAUGCUUGAUUGAACCGCAUGGUUCAAUUAUAAAAGGUGGCUUUUAGCUACCACUUACAGAUGGACCCGCGGCGCAUUAGCUAGUUGGGGAGGUAACGGUUCACCAAGGCAACGAUGCGUAGCCGACCUGAAAGGGGGAUCGGCCACACUGGGACUGAAACACGGCCCAAACUCCUACGGGAGGCAGCAGUAGGGAAUCUUCCGCAAUGGACGAAAGUCUGACGGAGCAACGCCGCGUGAGUGAUGAAGGUUUUCGGAUCGUAAAACUCUGUUGUUAGGGAAGAACAAGUACCGUUCAAAUAGGGCGGACCUUGACGGAACCUAACCAGAAAGCCACGGCUAACUACGCCCACCAGCCGCGGUAAUACGUAGGUGGCAAGCGUUGUCCGGAAUUAUUGGGCGUAAAGCGCGCGCAGGCGGUUUCUUAAGCUGAUGUGAAAGCCCCCGGCUCACCCGGGGAGGGCCAUUGCAAACUGGGGAACUUGAGUGCAAAAGAGGAAAGUGCAAUUCCACGUGUAGCGUGGAAAUGCUUAGAGAUGUGGAGGAACCCCAUGCCGAUGGCAACUCUCUGCCUGUAAUUGACGCUAACGCGCGAAAGCGUGGGAACCGAACACGAUUAGAUACCCUGGUAGUCCACGCCGAAAACGAUGAGUGCUAGCGUUAAGGGUUUC
Molecule: ribosomal RNA, 796 nt
Filed under: Bacillus licheniformis
Lineage: Bacteria; Bacillati; Bacillota; Bacilli; Caryophanales; Bacillaceae
Also listed under: 1 other name
Description: bacterial SSU rRNA
Rfam family: Bacterial small subunit ribosomal RNA
Source: RNAcentral